This 1001-nucleotide long non-coding RNA is filed under the name Trifolium pratense (red clover). RNAcentral describes it as "long non-coding RNA (TPRA_LNC012630)". The record is from RNAcentral. Lineage: Eukaryota; Viridiplantae; Streptophyta; Magnoliopsida; Fabales; Fabaceae.
AGCCAAACUCUUCUUCCUCCUCUUGUUGUAUCUCUGAUCUCUGCUGCAUAUUUCCCCCAAGGUCUUUUUCUUACACCUAUAUAUGACUUCUGAUCCAUCUUAUUAUUAUUUUUCUGCAAACUUGUUUUAGCUUCAGAAUUGUUCUUCACUGAUUGAUUUGUCUCAUUUUUGGUUUGUUUUCUUUGUUGGUCAACCAUGUCAAAAGAAAGAGAACCAUGAAAAGGGUGAUGAUGAAGUGAUUCAAAGAGAAUAUUAUUAGGAUCUUGUUGCAACAUUUCAAAAUCUGGGUUAAAGAAGAAAGAUCUACUCAUCAUAGGCAGGUAUAUUAUGGAAACAAAUUUUUGUUUGGUUAUUUUCUUCUCUGUCUUCCACUCUUGGUUAUAAUUUGAUUCAUAAUGUCAUUAUACCCACUGGAGGUUCUUAUUAAAAUGUCAAUUUGGAUUAUUCUAAUUAUAUUAUUCUAAUGAUAAUUUGUUGAGAGAAUCUAAAUCUAUUGAGGAAACUAAUCUUAUUAAAUUCAUGGCCCAGAUGCUAUUAAGAGUAGUCCGUGUGUAAGAUUUAAUAUUGUGAAAGUAGAUUUGAUUUACCCAUAACGGUAAUACUGUUGAGGAAUAUUAUAAUACCCGUUUAUUUUCUAAAAUCCAUGUUCAUUUUAAAUUGACCAACAAAGAGACGAGAUAUUCAUGUAGUAACUAGUAACUAUUGUGAUAGAAAAAAUAUGGAAAGAUAAACUUUGAAAGAAUGCAUUUCUAGAAACAAUAAAACAAUGUUUUUUUACAUCUUUCUGAAAAUAUUAGUGUUUCCGGUUAAAAUAGGAGUUGGGGUCUAGCUAAUGAAUCAGGGCCAGGCAUGAGGGGAGGCAAGUGAGGCAGCCGUUUUGAGCCUCAUAUUUUUGUUUUUGGCUCAGGUGCGAACAGGUUGAAGUUUCAGCUAAGGAGGGGAUAAAAUUUCACAAGAGGAGACUGUUUAGUUUAUUUAUUUAGAAUUGAAAAUGUUGGAUG